This 250-nucleotide ribosomal RNA is filed under the name uncultured Actinomycetales bacterium. RNAcentral describes it as "partial 16S ribosomal RNA". It matches the Rfam family "Bacterial small subunit ribosomal RNA", at positions 83 to 334 of the family's 1533-position model. Lineage: Bacteria; Bacillati; Actinomycetota; Actinomycetes; Actinomycetales. The record is from RNAcentral.
UGGGGUGCUCGAGUGGCGAACGGGUGAGUAACACGUGAGUAACCUGCCCUUGACUUUGGGAUAACUUCAGGAAACUGGGGCUAAUACCGGAUAAGAGCUCCUGCUGCAUGGUGGGGGUUGGAAAGUUUCGGCGGUUGGGGAUGGACUCGCGGCUUAUCAGCUUGUUGGUGGGGUAGUGGCUUACCAAGGCUUUGACGGGUAGCCGGCCUGAGAGGGUGACCGGCCACAUUGGGACUGAGAUACGGCCCAG